This 27-nucleotide transfer RNA is filed under the name Neophron percnopterus (Egyptian vulture). Its description in RNAcentral is "partial tRNA-Leu". The record is from RNAcentral. Lineage: Eukaryota; Metazoa; Chordata; Aves; Accipitriformes; Accipitridae.
UAGCGUGGCAGAGCCGGGUAAAUGCAA